CCUACGGUAGGCAGCAGUCGAGAAUCAUUCACAAUGGGGGAAACCCUGAUGGUGCGACGCCGCGUGGGGGAAUGAAGGUCUUCGGAUUGUAAGCCCCUGUCAUGUGGGAGCAAAUUAAAAAGAUAGUACCACAAGAGGAAGAGACGGCUAACUGUGUGCCAGAAGACCCGGAAAUACAGAGGUCUCAAGGGUUGUUCGGAAUCACUGGGCGUAAGCGUGCGGAGGCUGGUUCGUAAGUCGUUUGUGAAAGGCGCGGGCUCAACCCGCGGACGGCACAUGUUACUGCGAGACUAGAGUAAUGGAGGGGGAACCGGAAUUCUCGGUGUAGCAGUGAAAUGCGUAGAUAUCGAGAGGAACACUCGUGGCGAAGGCGGGUUCCUGGACAUUAACUGACGCUGAGGCACGAAGGCCAGGGGAGCGAAAGGGAUUAGAUACCCGGGUAGUC
RNAcentral lists this ribosomal RNA (445 nucleotides) under uncultured bacterium. RNAcentral's name for it is "partial 16S ribosomal RNA". It matches the Rfam family "Bacterial small subunit ribosomal RNA", at positions 338 to 795 of the family's 1533-position model. The record is from RNAcentral.